UCUGGUUGAUCCUGCCAGUAGUUAUAUGCUUGUCUCAAAGAUUAAGCCAUGCAUGUCUAAGUACACACGAAUUAAAAGUGAAACCGCAAAAGGCUCAUUAUAUCAGUUAUGGUUCCUUAGAUCGUUAACAGUUACUUGGAUAACUGUGGUAAUUCUAGAGCUAAUACAUGCAAUUAAAACACGGACCUUAUGGGACGUGUGCUUUUAUUAGGCUAAAACCAAGCGAUCGUAAGAUCGUUACAUUGGUUGAACUCUAGAUAACAUGCAGAUCGUAUGGUCUUGUACCGACGACAGAUCUUUCAAAUGUCUGCCCUAUCAACUUUUGAUGGUAGUAUCUAGGACUACCAUGGUUGCAACGGGUAACGGGGAAUCAGGGUUCGAUUCCGGAGAGGGAGCCUGAGAAACGGCUACCACAUCUAAGGAAGGCAGCAGGCGCGUAAAUUACCCACUCCCAGCUCGGGGAGGUAGUGACGAAAAAUAACAAUACAGGACUCAUAUCCGAGGCCCUGUAAUUGGAAUGAGUACACUUUAAAUCCUUUAACAAGGACCAAUUGGAGGGCAAGUCUGGUGCCAGCAGCCGCGGUAAUUCCAGCUCCAAUAGCGUAUAUUAAAGUUGUUGCGGUUAAAACGUUCGUAGUUGAACUUGUGCUUCAUACGGGUAGUACAACUUACAAUUGUGGUUACUACUAUACCUUUAUGUAUGUAAGCGUAUUACCGGUGGAGUUCUUAUAUAUAAUUAAGUACUUGUAUUUUUUUAUAUAUUCCUCCUAUUUAAAAACCUGCAUUAGUGCUCUUCAUCGAGUGUUAUUGUGGGCCGGUACAAUUACUUUGAACAAAUUAGAGUGCUUAAAGCAGGCUUCAAAUGCCUGAAUAUUCUGUGCAUGGGAUAAUGAAAUAAGACCUCUGUUCUGCUUUCAUUGGUUUUCAGAUCAAGAGGUAAUGAUUAAUAGAAGCAGUUUGGGGGCAUUAGUAUUACGACGCGAGAGGUGAAAUUCUUGGACCGUCGUAAGACUAACUUAAGCGAAAGCAUUUGCCAAAGAUGUUUUCAUUAAUCAAGAACGAAAGUUAGAGGUUCGAAGGCGAUCAGAUACCGCCCUA
RNAcentral lists this ribosomal RNA (1098 nucleotides) under Drosophila persimilis. RNAcentral's name for it is "SSU rRNA". It matches the Rfam family "Eukaryotic small subunit ribosomal RNA", at positions 1 to 1022 of the family's 1831-position model. Lineage: Eukaryota; Metazoa; Arthropoda; Insecta; Diptera; Drosophilidae. The record is from RNAcentral.